RNAcentral lists this ribosomal RNA (253 nucleotides) under uncultured bacterium. Its description in RNAcentral is "partial 16S ribosomal RNA". It matches the Rfam family "Bacterial small subunit ribosomal RNA", at positions 524 to 776 of the family's 1533-position model. The record is from RNAcentral.
UACGUAGGGACCGAGCGUUGUCCGGAAUCAUUGGGCGUAAAGAGCGUGUAGGCGGCUUGCUAAGUCUUGCGUGAAAGCCCGGGGCUCAACCCCGGGUCGGCCGUGGCAACUGUCGAGCUGGAGCACUGUAGAGGCAGGUGGAAUUCCGGGUGUAGCGGUGGAAUGCGUAGAGAUCCGGAAGAACACCGGUGGCGAAGGCGGCCUGCUGGGCAGUGGCUGACGCUGAGGCGCGACAGCGUGGGGAGCAAACAGG